AUGCACUCCAACAAUGACCAAAUGUAACACAAAGCGGACCAACCGCAGUGACAGCUGAACUAAGUUUGCCGAGGGAAACUUUAGCACUGAUUGUAACCCCACAACAGAGACGAAUUAAAGAAACGACACGAACUUUGCACAGCACACACACCAGGCCGGUAAAAGAGCUUCAGGACCAAGGAAUGUUGAACUUGAUGGGCUCACAUUAAACAAGAUUGUGUCCAACUGCACAGCCUUUCUAUCAGAGCACAUUGUUGCCUUCUUCCCUCAUCAAAACUCAGUCCUGCGAGCCUGUGUUCUCUCUUUGGGCCAGCAGUGGACAGAGUUGUCAUUUACCUUCCAGCUUCUGUCAAACUGUCCCUCACUGUUAUCCCUCGGGCCUCGUCUUCUCC
Long non-coding RNA from Phyllopteryx taeniolatus (common seadragon), 392 nucleotides. RefSeq lists it as uncharacterized. Lineage: Eukaryota; Metazoa; Chordata; Actinopteri; Syngnathiformes; Syngnathidae. The record is from RefSeq and is a predicted model, not a curated record. The transcript has 3 exons.